Molecule: ribosomal RNA, 253 nt
Filed under: uncultured bacterium
Lineage: Bacteria
Description: partial 16S ribosomal RNA
Rfam family: Bacterial small subunit ribosomal RNA
Source: RNAcentral
UACGAAGGGGGCUAGCGUUGUUCGGAAUCACUGGGCGUAAAGCGCACGUAGGCGGAUUUGUAAGUCAGGGGUGAAAUCCCGGGGCUCAACCUCGGAACUGCCUUUGAUACUGCAAGUCUCGAGUCCGAGAGAGGUGAGUGGAAUUCCUAGUGUAGAGGUGAAAUUCGUAGAUAUUAGGAAGAACACCAGUGGCGAAGGCGGCUCACUGGCUCGGUACUGACGCUGAGGUGCGAAAGAGUGGGGAGCAAACAGG